UACGAAGGGGGCUAGCGUUGUUCGGAAUCACUGGGCGUAAAGCGCACGCAGGCGGAUUGAUAAGUCGGGGGUGAAAUCCCGGGGCUCAACCUCGGAAUUGCCUUCGAUACUGUCUGUCUUGAGUCCGGGAGAGGUGAGUGGAAUUCCUAGUGUAGAGGUGAAAUUCGUAGAUAUUAGGAAGAACACCAGUGGCGAAGGCGGCUCACUGGCCCGGUACUGACGCUCAUGUGCGAAAGCGUGGGGAGCAGACAGG
This 253-nucleotide ribosomal RNA is filed under the name uncultured bacterium. RNAcentral describes it as "partial 16S ribosomal RNA". It matches the Rfam family "Bacterial small subunit ribosomal RNA", at positions 524 to 776 of the family's 1533-position model. The record is from RNAcentral.